AGAGUUUGAUCAUGGCUCAGGAUGAACGCUGACAGAAUGCUUAACACAUGCAAGUCUACUUGAUCCUUCGGGUGAAGGUGGCGGACGGGUGAGUAACGCGUAAAGAACUUGCCUUACAGACUGGGACAACAUUUGGAAACGAAUGCUAAUACCGGAUAUUAUGAUUGGGUCGCAUGAUCUGGUUAUGAAAGCUAUAUGCGCUGUGAGAGAGCUUUGCGUCCCAUUAGUUAGUUGGUGAGGUAACGGCUCACCAAGACGAUGAUGGGUAGCCGGCCUGAGAGGGUGAACGGCCACAAGGGGACUGAGACACGGCCCUUACUCCUACGGGAGGCAGCAGUGGGGAAUAUUGGACAAUGGACCAAAAGUCUGAUCCAAGCAAUUCUGUGUGCACGAUGAAGUUUUCGGAAUGUAAAGUGCUUUCAGUUGGGAAGAAGUCAGUGACGGUACCAACAGAAGAAGCGACGGCUAAAUACGUGCCAGCCGCUGC
This 487-nucleotide ribosomal RNA is filed under the name uncultured bacterium. RNAcentral describes it as "bacterial SSU rRNA". It matches the Rfam family "Bacterial small subunit ribosomal RNA", at positions 8 to 518 of the family's 1533-position model. The record is from RNAcentral.